RNAcentral lists this ribosomal RNA (378 nucleotides) under Frankia sp. FE138. RNAcentral's name for it is "bacterial SSU rRNA". It matches the Rfam family "Bacterial small subunit ribosomal RNA", at positions 28 to 416 of the family's 1533-position model. The record is from RNAcentral. RNAcentral also lists the same sequence under 1 other name. Lineage: Bacteria; Bacillati; Actinomycetota; Actinomycetes; Frankiales; Frankiaceae.
GACGAACGCUGGCGGCGUGCUUAACACAUGCAAGUCGAGCGGGGGACUUCGGUCUUCAGCGGCGAACGGGUGAGUAACACGUGGGCAACCUGCCCCGAGCUCUGGGAUAACUUCGGGAAACCGGGGCUAAUACCGGAUAUGACAUUGCCGGGCAUCUGGUGGUGUGGAAAGAUUUAUCGGCUCGGGAUGGGCCCGCGGCCUAUCAGCUUGUUGGUGGGGUGAUGGCCUACCAAGGCGACGACGGGUAGCCGGCCUGAGAGGGCGAUCGGCCACACUGGGACUGAGACACGGCCCAGACUCCUACGGGAGGCAGCAGUGGGGAAUAUUGCGCAAUGGGCGGAAGCCUGACGCAGCGACGCCGCGUGGGGGAUGACGGCC